AAGUCUUUAUGAGAGAAACAUAAAAGACUAGAUGUACUUUCAUAGAUGAACUUUUCAAUAGUUUGAACUAAUAAGCUAUUGGAUUGAUUUUCUUUUAAAUAUAAAAUGGUCCCAAUUUUUGAUAGUCCAACUUAUCAUAAGAUUGAUUAGUCUUGAUAUUUUGUCAAAAAAGCCAUACCUUAUAUCCAACUUAAAAAGCAAGUUUUUUUUUUCUAAAUUUUUUUAAAGAUGCUUUGUAAAAAUCUUGAGCUAUUUAUAAAUAGAGCAUCAAAGUUAUUAUUGUUUUCAUUGCAUUCAAGCUUCAGUAGACCAAAGCAAUUGAACUAAUAGAGGUAGGUUCGAAUACGGGAAAAGACUAGUUAUAUGAAUUGG
RNAcentral lists this long non-coding RNA (372 nucleotides) under Physcomitrium patens. Its description in RNAcentral is "long non-coding RNA (PPAT_LNC014285)". The record is from RNAcentral. Lineage: Eukaryota; Viridiplantae; Streptophyta; Bryopsida; Funariales; Funariaceae.